Pistacia vera is the source of this 1020-nucleotide RNA transcript. It is a transcript of the gene named ubiquitin-conjugating enzyme E2 2-like, with no coding region annotated. The transcript is spliced from 6 exons. Lineage: Eukaryota; Viridiplantae; Streptophyta; Magnoliopsida; Sapindales; Anacardiaceae. The record is from RefSeq and is a predicted model, not a curated record.
UAUAAACAUACGCACACGCAACCUAAGGUGUGAAACUCAACCCUCUUGUUUUGCAGAGAUUUGCCCAGAUCUCUCUCUUCUAGAAACUUCUUUUUCUCAGAGAGGAGCCGUCAGCCAUGUCCACACCUGCAAAGAAGAGGCUGAUGCGCGACUUCAAGCGGCUCCAGCAGGAUCCACCCGCCGGUAUUAGUGGCGCCCCUCAAGACAACAACAUCAUGCUCUGGAACGCCGUCAUUUUUGGGCCUGAUGAUACACCGUGGGAUGGAGGUACGUUCAAGUUGACUCUGCAAUUUACUGAGGAUUAUCCGAAUAAACCUCCAACAGUUCGGUUUGUCUCGCGGAUGUUUCAUCCAAAUAUCUAUGCAGAUGGAAGCAUUUGCUUGGAUAUUUUACAAAAUCAAUGGAGUCCUAUAUAUGAUGUUGCGGCUAUUCUGACAUCUAUCCAGUCACUGCUUUGUGAUCCAAAUCCAAACUCCCCUGCAAACUCAGAAGCAGCUCGCAUGUUUAGUGAGAACAAGCGAGAAUAUAACCGAAGAGUGCGUGAGAUAGUGGAGCAGAGCUGGACUGCUGACUAAAGGCCGAAAGAAAGCGCCGGAAACUUGUCUCUGCAUGAGAAAUGGAGAGUGCUUGUGAUAUGAUGGUGAUGCUUGUAUGCAGAUAAUCUCAAAUCCCAGUGUCCUCAUUACAACGGAAAUUUACGGCUUCUACCUUUCCAGCAUUGUAAUUUUUCCGAUAGUAUAGAUCCUUGACCUUGUAAGAGUAUUUGUUGUUAUGUUACCAGGAGUAAAAUCUUGGUGAUAAUGCCGAAAGAAAGAUUUUUAUUUUGUAUCAGGCACAAUGCACAGAUAAUUUUCAUCUCUUUUCUUUCUCACUGAAAGAGUGAAAGGCAUAGAAUUAAAUAUGCAGUGCGGAGUUAGCAAUUGAGUGUUAUCAGUUAUGUGCUACAUCAUUGAAGCUGAUGUGCACGGUUGUCUUUAUAAUGCCCAGAAUCAGAUUUGCAGUUGCGAAAGGAAACCGAGC